GUGCUGUUAGUUUCUAGAACAGUAUCGGUAUACUAAACGUAUGUGUAUUCUGAUUCAAACUAACUAGUUCUGGAUUUGACAGCAUAGAUGACGGCCUUUCUUCUUGCUUCUUUCGUCUUUUUUCGAGAGGUACAUGUUUAACUUAUCUAUGUUUAACAUGUCUAUUAUCAGUUUAAAGAAACAUUUGCAAGUGAUAUGGGUUCGUCGUCAAUCCGUUGGCCAGAUUCGAGAUACAUACCAUUUCAUUUAAAUACAAAUUGAAAAGUGGUCAUCAGUCCCAGCCACUCUCGCAUCAUCCGCCUCUCAAAACACACAGUUAUCGGCUGUGUAAAGUUGGAAAGAUAGCUCAAACCUUUGCAAAUGAAAUCAUUUCGGAGAUUCUAAGCAGGAGGAAUUAGAAUUGCCCGGAAAAACUGUUGUGGGUAUUCUCAGUUCAUGGUACAAGCUGUUGACUCAAAUACUAAAUACGAUACUCCAAAAUGUAUUUUAGAAAUACCUGAAGAAGCUGCGAAAAAUAGUGAAACUAAAAUUAUGCGAGAACAACAAUUCGGCACCCGACAAAAGCACGGCACUAUGGAACAAGAUGGGCAAAGCUCCUGCGAGUAAGAGCUGCUGCUUAGCUGCAUUCUUGGAUGUAUGAAAGGCUCUUGACAAGUUUUUAAAAAAGUGUACUAAAUCUAA
Dendroctonus ponderosae (mountain pine beetle) is the source of this 681-nucleotide long non-coding RNA. RefSeq lists it as uncharacterized. The record is from RefSeq and is a predicted model, not a curated record. Lineage: Eukaryota; Metazoa; Arthropoda; Insecta; Coleoptera; Curculionidae. The transcript is spliced from 3 exons.